GUUACGAAUGAAAAAGACAAAAAGACCAAGUUAGGAAACUUAACAAAUUAUAUUUGGGACUCUAAAAGGAGCAUGUGCAUUGUGUGGAAAUGUUUGUAUGUACUAGGGGUCUCAAAUAGGCGGGUUGGGUUGAUUUUGGGCAGGUCAAAACGGGUUGAGUCAAUAAUUGGGCAGGUCAUUUUGAUCCGCCCAAAAGUUACUUAGGCUAAGAUGGGUUGGGUCAAGAUGGACUAAAAUUUGGGUCAUAUCCCAACACGCCCAACUCUAAUCAGUCUUUAAAUAAUAUAUGUUAUUUUCUUAGAAAUUGUAUAAUUACUAAAUAAGACUUGUUCUCUUACGUUAUGGUCAUAUAUAACAUAUCAAACAAGAAAAUAAAUGCAUUUCUAAGAUAUUUUGGCAAAGUUACUCAAGGAUCAAUUUGGGCAAUGGGUGGUGAUGGCUUGAGUCAAGAUAAUUGAGUUCAAUAAAUGGGCGGGUCAAUAACCAGUCCAACCUAAGAUGAGUUGCGCAAAUCAUUUGGGCUUGGGUCAAAUUUGACAGCCCUAGUAUGUACAAGAGAAAAUAUCCUAUAAGGGCUAUGAUAGAAUUUGGUCUUUCUUUUCUUAGUUUACUUAUAAAUGUAGAAUAUCCCUCCCUUUUUUGUUUUACCAUUUAUUUCUGAAGUUUGUUGCAAGGAAGGACAUGAACUCCUAUAUUAUAUUGGAUGUCGCCUGGUGCUCUUCAGCUCCGUAGUGUUGUUGCGACAAAUUAUUGUUUUUACCUGGCUUAAUAUGGUCUUUUUCACAUCGAGCCCAUGAAUGCAACCGACAUUAUAAAACAGUUUGAGGGACUAAAUUCAUUCGAGGUUGGUUAGGAAGUCCGAAGACGUCGGCGGAGGCCUCAAGAAGAGUUAUCUUUUCUAUUUAACAGCCCGCCCACCCUGGAAACGACCCAGUCGGAGAUAGGGUCUAGCAGCUGGAAGAGCAGCGCACGUUGCAUGGUGUCGAUGCGCCCCCGACCCUCAAAUAUUCAGAGGACCGAGUGUCGUCCAUGCCCGGUCGUACUCAUAAUCGCAUCGGGUAUCCAAGGUGAACAACCUCUGGUAGACAGAACAAUGUAGGCAAGGGAAGUCGGCAAAAUGGAUCCACAACUUUUGGGAAAAGGAUAGAUUUGAGGGCUGGGCACGGGGUCCUAGUCCCGAACCCGUCGGAUGUCGGUGGACUGCUAGAGCUGCUCUUGCACUGAGAGUGGGUUGUCGCGUGCCGACCGGGGGACGGACUUGGAACGGUUCCUUCAGGGGCCUUUCCGGGCAUCGAACAACCAACUCAGAACUGGUAUGGACAAGGGGAAUCCGACUAUUUAUUUAAAAUAAAGCAUUGUGAUGGUCCUUGCGGAUGUUUACGCAAUGUGAUUUCUGUCCAGUGCUCUGAAUGUCAAAGUGAAAUUCAACCAAGCGCGGGUAAACGGCGGGAGUAACUAUGACUAUCUUAAGGUAGCCAAAUGCCUCGUCAACUAAUUAGUGACGCGUAUGAAUGGAUUAACGAGAUUCCCACUGUCACUGUCUACUAUCCAGCAAAACCACGGCCAAGGGAACGGUCUUGGCAAAAUCAACAGGGAAAGAAGACCCUGUUGAGUUUGACUCUAGUCCGACUUUGUGAAAUAACUUGAGAGGUGUAGUAUAAGUGGGAGCCGAAAGGCAAAAGUGAAAUACGACUACUUUUAACGUUAUUUUACUCAUUACGUGAAUCGGAAGCGGGGUACUACCUCUCUUUUUGGACCCACGGCUUGCUUGUAGGCCGAUCCGGGUGGAAGACAUUGUCAGGUGGGGAGUUUGGCUGGGGCGGCACAUCUGUUAAAAGAUAACGCAUGUGUCCUAAGAUGAGCUCAACGAGAACAGAAAUCUCGUGUAGAACAGAAGGGUAAAAGCUCGUUUGAUUCUAAUUUCCAGUACGAAUACGAACUGUGAAAGCGUGGCUUAAAGAUCCUUUAGACCUUUGGAAUUCGAAGCUAGAGGUGUCAGAAUAGUUACCAUAGGGAUAAGUGGCUUGUGUCGGCCAAGAGUUCAUAGCGACGUUGCUUUUUGAUCCUUCAAUGUCGGCUCUUCCUAUCAUUGUGAAGCAGAAUUCACUAAGUGUUGGAUUGUUCAUCCACCAAAAGGGAACGUGAGUUGGGUUUAGACCAUCGUGAUAUAGUUUAGUUUUACCCUACUGAUGACAAUGUCGCAAUAGUAAUUCAACCUAGUACGAGAGGAAUCGUUGAUUCACACAAUUGGUCAUCGCGCUUGGUUGAAAAGCAAGUGGCGCAAAGCUACCAUGCGUUGGAUUAUGACUGGAUGGCUAUAAGUUAGAAUCCGAGCUAGAAGCAACGCAUGCGCCCGUCGUCCGCUUGCCGACCUAUAGUAGGGCCUUUAGCCUCCAAGGGCACAUGUCGUUGGCUAAGUAAUCACAGCGAAAGAGCUGUGGUGGUUGUCUUGAAGUACAAUUUCCAUCGAGCGGCAAUCCUUUGCAGAUGAUUUAAAUACACAACGGGGUAUUAUAAGUGGCAGAAUGGCCUUGCUGCCACGAUC
RNAcentral lists this ribosomal RNA (2545 nucleotides) under Nicotiana attenuata. RNAcentral's name for it is "eukaryotic LSU rRNA". The stretch from base 330 to 2545 matches the Rfam family "Eukaryotic large subunit ribosomal RNA". Lineage: Eukaryota; Viridiplantae; Streptophyta; Magnoliopsida; Solanales; Solanaceae. The record is from RNAcentral.